RNAcentral lists this ribosomal RNA (424 nucleotides) under uncultured bacterium. RNAcentral describes it as "bacterial SSU rRNA". It matches the Rfam family "Bacterial small subunit ribosomal RNA", at positions 355 to 776 of the family's 1533-position model. The record is from RNAcentral.
UGAGGAAUAUUGGUCAAUGGGCGGAAGCCUGAACCAGCCAAGUCGCGUGAGGGAAUAAGGCCCUACGGGUCGUAAACCUCUUUUGUCUGGGAGCAAAGCCGGGGACGCGUCCCCGGAAGGAGAGUACCAGAAGAAAAAGCAUCGGCUAACUCCGUGCCAGCAGCCGCGGUAAUACGGAGGAUGCGAGCGUUAUCCGGAUUUAUUGGGUUUAAAGGGUGCGUAGGCGGCCUGUUAAGUCAGCGGUAAAAUUUCGGGGCUCAACCCCGUCUCGCCGUUGAAACUGGCUGGCUCGAGUGUGCGAGAAGUAGGCGGAAUGCGUGGUGUAGCGGUGAAAUGCAUAGAUAUCACGCAGAACCCCGAUUGCGAAGGCAGCCUACCGGCGCACAACUGACGCUGAGGCACGAAAGUGCGGGUAUCGAACAGG